Molecule: ribosomal RNA, 218 nt
Filed under: uncultured bacterium
Lineage: Bacteria
Description: partial 16S ribosomal RNA
Rfam family: Bacterial small subunit ribosomal RNA
Source: RNAcentral
UACAUAGGUGGCAAGCGUUAUCCGGAUUUAUUGGGCGUAAAGCGUGCGUAGACGGUUUUGCAAGUCUGAGGUUAAAUUUAGGGGCUCAACCCCUAACCGCCUUGGAACUACAUUACUAGAGUAUAGGAGAGGUUAGUGGAAUUUCAUGUGUAGCGGUGGAAUGCGUAGAUAUAUGAAGGAACACCAGUGGGCGAAGGCGGACUAACUGGCCUAUUACU